CAGUAGCCGCGGUAAUACGGAGGGUGCAAGCGUUAUCCGGAUUUAUUGGGUUUAAAGGGUCCGUAGGCGGACUUAUAAGUCAGUGGUGAAAGCCUGUCGCUUAACGAUAGAACUGCCAUUGAUACUGUAAGUCUUGAGUAUAUUUGAGGUAGCUGGAAUAAGUAGUGUAGCGGUGAAAUGCAUAGAUAUUACUUAGAACACCAAUUGCGAAGGCAGGUUACCAAGAUAUAACUGACGCUGAGGGACGAAAGCGUGGGUAGCGAACAGGAUUAGAGACCCGAGUAGUCCCUGUCUCUUAUAC
This 301-nucleotide ribosomal RNA is filed under the name uncultured bacterium. RNAcentral describes it as "partial 16S ribosomal RNA". It matches the Rfam family "Bacterial small subunit ribosomal RNA", at positions 509 to 807 of the family's 1533-position model. The record is from RNAcentral.